GGAGUUUGGACCGUGUCUCAGUUCCAAUGUGGGGGACCUUCCUCUCAGAACCCCUACUGAUCGUCGGCCAGGUGGGCCGUUGCCCCGCCUGCUGCCUAAUCAGACGCAUCCCCAUCGUCCAGCGAUGAAUCUUUACUCCGAAUCUGAUGUCAUCCUCGGAGAACAUAGGGUAUUAAUCCGCAUUUCUACGGGCUGUCCCCUACUGGACGGCAGGUUGGAUACGCGUUACUCACCCGUGCGCCGGUCGCCAUCGGCCUUAGCAAGCUAAGACCAUGCUGCCCCUCGACUUGCAUGUGUUAAGCCUGUAGCUAGCGUUCAUC
RNAcentral lists this ribosomal RNA (320 nucleotides) under uncultured Prevotella sp. Its description in RNAcentral is "partial 16S ribosomal RNA". The record is from RNAcentral. Lineage: Bacteria; Pseudomonadati; Bacteroidota; Bacteroidia; Bacteroidales; Prevotellaceae.